AAAGAACCUUUUGAAAUUUAGAAGUCUUUCUAAAGAAGGUGUUCUUAUGGUAAAAAAGAAAAAUGCUGUGAGACCUUAGGUAAGUAACUGUACUUCUCAGGAUUAACAGGGAUAAUAAAAAGGUGAUCUUUAGGACUGAAUGAGAAAGUAUAUGUAAAAAUGCCUAAGAUACCCAACACAGAGAAAGACUUAAUUAUUUUCUGUUAUUAUUUAUUAAAGUACAUUUUUGUAUACAAUUUUGUGUUUCUACAAUAUGAGUAUUUCACACCCAGAUUUAAGUAAAAUUUAGUAGGGUCCUUUUCUGUGCUAGGUGUUUUUUUUUUUUAUGUUGGCAUAUUUAAUUCCUAAAACAAUCUUACAAAGUUUGAAAAGUUGUUUCUUUUUAAAUAAUUAAGCCAUAUGAUUUCAGAAUGGCUAAGCAACUUGCCUAAUGUCACACAUUUGAUGUCUCCAGAUUCCAAGUUUCGUGUUCUUUCAUUUACAUUAAUAAAAAUUCUAAUAUCAGUACUUCAUAUGCACUGAAUUUGAAUAGAGCAUUAUACUCAGUUAAUCAUGUAUCACAUCAUUUUAUCACCAAAGUACACCUAUGAGGUUGCUGCCAGUGACUCCAUGGAGAUUAAAGAGUGUCAAGUCAUUGCCCCAGACCACACAGGUAGAAGUUGCAGAGCAAGGAUUUAAGGCCAAAUAGUUCUAAUUUUUCUGCCUGUGGUUGUCCUACUCCUUUACAACAUCCAUCAUUUCAGGGACUUAUUCUUACCAAAUAAGAGUCAAUGUGAGUAGGGGGAACAUACACAUUUUGUUUCAAUGUGACACUGUAGAUUGCUCCUAAAAUGUCACAGGCUGGGAACCACUAACCUAAGAUCUCCUUUUGAUUUUUAAUUGAGUCGCUCCUGAAAUGUCUUCAGUAUCUUUAACUCCAUGUUCUUUCCCUUCUUUGCUUCAGUAACUCCCAUGCAUUCUUCAAGCCUUAGAAUAACUGGAACCUCUUCUGAGAAGCUUUUCUUUCUACUUCCAGUCUCAAUGGGUGCUGAAUUUCAGUUCAUCACAGGUUUUGACAACAGGAGUGUGAGCAAUGACAAAAAGGCCUGGAGAUUAAAAAGAUGGCUCUGCUGCUCCACAACAUGUCUCAGAAUCUCCUUUCUUGAAAUCACAGGUAACUGAUCACCUUACCAUUGCUAAAGUCUGUUUAAAAGCAGACUUAAAUUGCCAAUGGAGUCAACAGCAAUUAAUUUUACUAUACCCAACAUGAGAAGAACUGAUCAAAAUCCAUGUUUCUAAAGGUCUGACUACAAAAGCAAAUGAUUUAGGCACUGUUCCGUAUCAAGAAUCUUUCAUCAUAACCAUAGAAUACUGUCUCUAUAAGCCUGUGAAAUGCCAUAGAAAACAUUGGAACAUAAAAUAGUUCCAAUCUAUUAUUUUUAGCAAAAUUAGUGGCAAUGUUUGCUGAUUCUUAGCAAGAUAAAUACCCAUAUCACCUAUGGUUAUUUCUUUCUAGUAUAAUAGUGGUGGGUGAUUGCUGAAGAUAACUUUUUUUUUCAAGCCAGAAACUUGAGGGAUCAACUUGUCUUCUCUUUAUCUGUCACAACUUCCUGUCUACCCUUUAACCUUCUCUCUCUCUCUCUCUCUCUCUCUCUCUCGACAAUUUGAUUGACUCUACAUCAUCACAGUCUUUGGAAUUUUUCAAUUUUAAUUCAUGCUUAUUGUACCUACCAUAUUUCAGAGCACCACCAUCAUUCUCUAAUGUUACCUAACUGGUCUCCUUGCCUUUCUUCUUGAAGCUUCUGCAGUUUAUUUCUGUAUUCAU
This 1804-nucleotide long non-coding RNA is filed under the name Macaca mulatta (Rhesus monkey). RNAcentral describes it as "lncRNA (ENSMMUG00000037955.2)". Lineage: Eukaryota; Metazoa; Chordata; Mammalia; Primates; Cercopithecidae. The record is from RNAcentral.